This 460-nucleotide ribosomal RNA is filed under the name uncultured bacterium. RNAcentral describes it as "partial 16S ribosomal RNA". It matches the Rfam family "Bacterial small subunit ribosomal RNA", at positions 338 to 795 of the family's 1533-position model. The record is from RNAcentral.
CCUACGGGAGACUGCAGUGAGGAAUAUUGGUCAAUGGACGCAAGUCUGAACCAGCCAUGCCGCGUGCAGGAAGACGGCUCUAUGAGUUGUAACCUUCUUUUGUACGAGAGUAAACGCAGAUACGCGUAUCUGUCUGAAAGUAUCGUACGAGUAAGGAUCGGCUAACUCCGUGCCAGCAGCCGCGGUAAUACGGAGGAUUCAAGCGUUAUCCGGAUUUAUUGGGUUUAAAGGGUGCGUAGGCGGUCGGAUAAGUUAGAAGUGAAAUCCCGAGGCUCAACUUCGGAAUUGCCUCUGAUACUGUUCGGCUAGAGAGGAGGUGCGGUAGGCGGAAUGUAUGGUGGAGCGGUGAAAUGCUUAGAGAUCAUACAGAACACCGAUUGCGAAGGCAGCUUACCAAGCUACUUCUGACGUUGAGGCACGAAAGCGUGGGGAGCAAACAGGAUUAGAUACCCCUGUAGUC